This 29-nucleotide non-coding RNA is filed under the name Mus musculus (house mouse). The record is from RNAcentral. Lineage: Eukaryota; Metazoa; Chordata; Mammalia; Rodentia; Muridae.
UAGAGUCACUGUCAACCUUCAACCCAUGG